Molecule: ribosomal RNA, 371 nt
Filed under: uncultured organism
Description: partial 16S ribosomal RNA
Rfam family: Bacterial small subunit ribosomal RNA
Source: RNAcentral
GGAGGGUGCAAGCGUUGUUCGGAAUUAUUGGGCUUAAAGAGCGUGUAGGCGGUUCGGUAAGUCAGAUGUGAAAGCCCUGGGCUCAACCCAGGAAGUGCAUUUGAAACUACCAGACUUGAGUACGGGAGAGGAGGGGGGAAUUCCCGGUGUAGAGGUGAAAUUCGUAGAUAUCGGGAGGAAUACCAGUGGCGAAGGCGCCCCUCUGGACCGAUACUGACGCUGAGACGCGAAAGCGUGGGGAGCAAACAGGAUUAGAUACCCUGGUAGUCCACGCCGUAAACGAUGAGCACUAGGUGUAGCGGGUAUUGACCCCUGCUGUGCCGUAGCUAACGCAUUAAGUGCUCCGCCUGGGGACUACGGUCGCAAGACUA